CGUCUAGGUGGCCCGCCAAGUCAGAUGUGAAAUCCCUCGGCUCAACCGAGGAACUGCAUUUGAAACUGGCGAGCUUGAGUACUGUAGAGGGUAGCGGAAUUCCUGGUGUAGAGGUGAAAUUCGUAGAUAUCAGGAGGAACACCAGUGGCGAAGGCGGCUACCUGGCCAGAUACUGACACUAAAGCGCGAAAGCAUGGGGAGCAAACAGGAUUAGAUACCCUGGUAGUCC
This 229-nucleotide ribosomal RNA is filed under the name uncultured bacterium. Its description in RNAcentral is "partial 16S ribosomal RNA". It matches the Rfam family "Bacterial small subunit ribosomal RNA", at positions 568 to 796 of the family's 1533-position model. The record is from RNAcentral.